RNAcentral lists this ribosomal RNA (725 nucleotides) under Sphaeroforma tapetis. Its description in RNAcentral is "eukaryotic LSU rRNA". The stretch from base 296 to 449 matches the Rfam family "5.8S ribosomal RNA". Lineage: Eukaryota; Ichthyosporea; Ichthyophonida. The record is from RNAcentral.
GAUCAUUACCAAACGAUUCUUUGGAUUCAGUUAGUAGCUUUUCGAUGCGGCGCAAGCCAAAUCGAGAAGUAGUUGGUUGACCGUAAUUAGGAGAAAUCCUUCCAGCUGCACUGAUUGGAUUCAGAGUUUAAUCAACCCCCUGUGAACUAUAAACCCGUACUGUUAUUGUCUUUUGGGUGGUACUGAAGCUGUUUACAGUCGAUGUGCUGCCCAGAAGCGAUAGCGCUUUAUUGAACUACUAAACGAAUUAUAUCUAUACGCAAAAUCUCUUUAUUAUUUAAUAAUAAUAAUUGACAACUUUUAACAGUGGAUCUCUAGGCUCGUGGAUCGAUGAAGAGCGCAGCAAAAUGCGAUACGUAAUGUGAAUUGCAGAAUUCAGUGAAUCAUCGAAUCCUUGAACGCAAAUUGCGGUGUUGGGUAUUCCCGGCACCAUGCUUGGUUGAGUGUCACUUAAUCUAACAAAAUUCAAUUUAUUUUGGGUAUUGUUACAGAUGAGGUUACGAGGCGUCUAUUUAAUAGAACUUCGAACCUUUAAUGACUAGCAAGACGCAUGACUUUUGAAGUUCAUUGCAGCUACUUGUGUGGCAAUAUUGUUUCGACAAUUUAAAGCGCAUGUUGGCUCAGUGGAUGUUAAUUCUUAAAUCAUUGCUGUUCUUACAAAUCUGAAUCUAUAUGUCUUCGGACUUAGAAUUUUGACCUCAGCUCAAGCAAGACUACCCGCUGAA